CAUCGCCUCUUGACCCCAUAAGAGGUCCAGCCUGCCCAGUGACUCUGUUCAACGGCUGCGGUAUUCUAACCGUGCAAAGGUAGCGUAAUCACUUGUUUUCUAAAUAAAGACCUGUAUGAAAGGCACCACGAGAGCUAAACUGUCUCCUUUUUCCAAUCAGUAAACCUAAUCCCCCUGUGAAAAAGCAGGAAUCUAAAUAUAAGACGAGAAGACCCUGUGGAGCUUAAAACAUUACUCACUUGCCACCAUAUCACAUUCCCCGGUACAUCAUUAAACGGCACUCUGAUCCAAUGUUUUUGGUUGGGGUGACCACGGAGAAAAACUUAUCCUCCGGAAUGAAAGGGAUUCCCUAAGCUAUAAAAUACAACUUUAAGCAUCAAAAAAUUGACAUCCAUUGACCCAAUAAAUUGAUCAAUGAACCAAGUUACCCUAGGGAUAACAGCUCAAUCCGCUUUGAGAGCCCC
Molecule: ribosomal RNA, 464 nt
Filed under: Pristimantis cf. ockendeni ABGD cluster 274
Lineage: Eukaryota; Metazoa; Chordata; Amphibia; Anura; Strabomantidae
Description: partial large subunit ribosomal RNA
Rfam family: Bacterial large subunit ribosomal RNA
Source: RNAcentral